GAUGAACGCUAGCGGCAGGCUUAAUACAUGCAAGUCGAGGGGCAUCAAGGUACACGAAAGUGUAUUGUUGGCGACCGGCGGACGGGUGAGUAAUAGGUAGGUAACCUACCUCAUACUGAGGCAUAGCUGGGAGAAAUUCCAGGUAAUUCCUCAUGAGGUUAUAUGACACAUGUGAUAUAAUCAAAGGUAUCGCAAGGUACUGGUAUGAGAUGGGCUUACUGACCAUUAGCUAGUUGGUGAGAUAAGAGCUCACCAAGGCGAAGAUGGUUAGGGGUUUUGAGAGAGAGAUCCCCCACAUUGGAACUGAGAUACGGUCCAGACUCCUACGGGAGCAGCAGUAGGGAAUAGUUGGGCAAGUGGGCGGAAGCCUGACCCAGCCAUGCCGCGUGAAGGAAGACGGCCUUAGUGGGUUAGUAAACUUCUUUACUAUGCGACUAACUAGUAUUUACGAGAUAAUUCUAUAGAAUGUAGCAUAACAAAAAGCACCGG
This 489-nucleotide ribosomal RNA is filed under the name uncultured bacterium. Its description in RNAcentral is "bacterial SSU rRNA". It matches the Rfam family "Bacterial small subunit ribosomal RNA", at positions 28 to 496 of the family's 1533-position model. The record is from RNAcentral.